CGAACAAAUCGUGAAACGUUUUCGGUUUUUUUUUUCCGUAUUCCGCAAUCUACUCGCACGCGCGAUCUCCCGGACAACCGGACGUAAUCGCCUGCGGAUUAAAAACCGCCUUUUAAACGGCAAAAUACAUAUGUACCGCAGACGUAAAUAGAGCCCGAACGUACGUAGGCUGUGAUCCCGAUAAGUUUCAGACAUGACGUUAAAGACUAAAUUAAUUAAAACACCGUAGGUCGGGCUUCGGACGGCUCAAGGAUUGCUAAGCCUUCCUAAACCUCCGCUAUUGGCGUCUGCGAUAUCUACCGCAUAAAGCGUCAUACGU
Molecule: non-coding RNA, 319 nt
Organism: Cinara cedri
Lineage: Eukaryota; Metazoa; Arthropoda; Insecta; Hemiptera; Aphididae
Source: the annotation of a GenBank genome assembly